GACGAACGCUGGCGGCGUGCCUAACACAUGCAAGUCGAGCGAACGGACGAGACUCUUGUUUGGCGGAUGAUUGCGGCGGACGUGUGAGUAACACGUAGAUAAUCCACCUAUAUUUCUGGUAUAACUUGGGAAAACGGGAUCUAAUACCGUAUAAUAUUUUGAACCGCUUGGUUCAAAAGUGAAAGACGGUCUUGCUGUCGCUUGUAGAUGCAUCCGCGCUGCCUUGGCUAGUUGGUAAGGUCACGGCUUACCAAGGCAACGAUGCAUAGCCGACCUGAGAGGGUGAUCGGGCGCACUGGAACUGAGACACGGUCCUGCGUCCUACGGGAGGCAGCAGUAGGGAAUCGUCCGCAAUGGGCGAAAGCCUGACGGAGCGACGCCGCGUGGGUGAUGAAGGUCUUGGGAUCGUAAAGCUGUGUUAUUAGGGCAGAACAGAUGUGUAAGUAACUGUGGACAUCGUGACGGUACCUGGUCAAAAAGCCACGGCUAACUACGUG
This 497-nucleotide ribosomal RNA is filed under the name uncultured bacterium. Its description in RNAcentral is "partial 16S ribosomal RNA". It matches the Rfam family "Bacterial small subunit ribosomal RNA", at positions 28 to 507 of the family's 1533-position model. The record is from RNAcentral.